UGUAGGACGCAUAAUCUUCUCUA
RNAcentral lists this non-coding RNA (23 nucleotides) under Arabidopsis thaliana (thale cress). Lineage: Eukaryota; Viridiplantae; Streptophyta; Magnoliopsida; Brassicales; Brassicaceae. The record is from RNAcentral.